AUUGAACGCUGGCGGCGUGCCUAAUACAUGCAAGUAGGACGCAGUUGCGAACGGGUGAGUAACGCGUAGGUAACUGCCUAUUAGAGGGGGAUAACUAUUGGAAACGCUAGCUAAUACCGCAUACUAGUAGAUGGACCUGUGUUUUAUUAGCUAGUAGGUAGGGUAAUGGCCUACCUAGGCAACGAUACAUAGCCGACCUGAGAGGGUGAUCGGCCACACUGGGACUGAGACACGGCCCAGACUCCUACGGGAGGCAGCAGUAGGGAAUCUUCGGCAAUGGGGGGAACCCUGACCGAGCAACGCCGCGUGAGUGAUGAAGGUCUUCGGAUCGUAAAACUCUGUUAUUAGGGAAGCGGUACCUAAUCAGAAAGCCACGGCUAACUACGUGCCAGCAGCCGCGGUAAUUC
RNAcentral lists this ribosomal RNA (407 nucleotides) under uncultured bacterium. Its description in RNAcentral is "partial 16S ribosomal RNA". It matches the Rfam family "Bacterial small subunit ribosomal RNA", at positions 30 to 526 of the family's 1533-position model. The record is from RNAcentral.